Molecule: ribosomal RNA, 227 nt
Filed under: uncultured bacterium
Lineage: Bacteria
Description: partial 16S ribosomal RNA
Rfam family: Bacterial small subunit ribosomal RNA
Source: RNAcentral
UGAGUAGCACGUAUCCAACCUGCCGUCUACUCUUGGACAGCCUUCCGAAAGGAAGAUUAAUACAAGAUGGCAUCAUGAGUCCGCAUGUUCACAUGAUUAAAGGUAUUCCGGUAGACGAUGGGGAUGCGUUCCAUUAGAUAGUAGGCGGGGUAACGGCCCACCUAGUCUUCGAUGGAUAGGGGUUCUGAGAGGAAGGUCCCCCACAUUGGAACUGAGACACGGUCCAA